This 256-nucleotide ribosomal RNA is filed under the name uncultured bacterium. Its description in RNAcentral is "partial 16S ribosomal RNA". It matches the Rfam family "Bacterial small subunit ribosomal RNA", at positions 337 to 610 of the family's 1533-position model. The record is from RNAcentral.
UCCUACGGGAGGCAGCAGUGGGGAAUAUUGGACAAUGGGGGAAACCCUGAUCCAGCGACGCCGCGUGAGUGAAGAAGUAUUUCGGUACGUAAAGCUCUAUCAGCAGGAAAGAAAAUGACGGUACCUGACUAAGAAGCCCCGGCUAACUACGUGCCAGCAGCCGCGGUAAUACGUAGGGGGCAGGCGUUAUCCGGAUUUACUGGGUGUAAUGGGAGCGUAGACGGCAGCGCAAGUCUGGAGUGAAUUUCCGGGGCCC